AGCUAUAGAGCGACAAAGAAUAAAGAGAAUAAGAGAGAAAGAAGAAGAAUCUUCUGUUACUACAAUAUUGCGGUAUUCAAUUUCCUACUAAGGUAAGGGGUAUUAUUUCUUUCUUAUUCGUGAAGAGAACUUCUGUUAUUUCAUUCUUUAUUAUUCUGUUGGAAUAACCUGUAUACGCGGGCUACCCUAUACUUGGUGAAAUUCUUUUGUUAUUCCAUUCUUUAUCAUUAUGUUAGAAUAACCUGUCUAUGCGAAGUACCGCAUACAUGGUGAAAUUCUUCUGUUAUUCAAUUUUUAUUAUUCUGUUGGAACAUCAUGUCGGUGCGUUACGCAUGACCUGGUUCCAUUAUUUAUUAUUCUGUUGGAAUAUCCUGUCUGUGCGUUUACGCAUGACCUGGUUGGAAUAUCAUGUCUGUGCGUUUGCGCAUGAUCUGGUUCCGUUAUUAAUUAUGAUGUUGGAAUAACCUGUCUGUGCGGUCUAUCGCAUGCCUGGUGAUUUCUUUUGUUAUCUCAUUCUUUAUUAUACUCAGUUGGUUAAAGUUUUGACUUUUAUACUCCAUGAAAUUAGUGAAAUAUCCUUGAUAUUUGCGUUUCAUCCAGUAUCUUUUCAUGAAAAUAUUCUUCUGAGCAUUCUUGAGUUUUACUCUGCAAAGAAGAAUCUUGUUGACAAUUUGAACGUUAUUAGUUCCUGGAUAAAUUAAUUCUUGAACUUGUUUUAUUAAAUUCUUAUAUCAUUGCCAUCAUCCUCAUGUUUAUAUUAUGUUGAAAGUCAUCUGUGGCCUGUAGUGCAUAGAUGGACUUGGUAUGAUUAUGACCAGGGAUUAUUCGGUGUAAUCAUGACCGUAAUAUUACAAAUGAUGUGGAAAAAGUCCUCAUUGGCCCGUAGUGCAUUGAUGGACAAUUGUUGGCAUGAUCAUGACCAUUGAUGAAUACACGAAUAUCCUUGGCCGUAGUGCAUGGAUAAUUUGUGGUUGUGAUACUAAUGAAUAUCCUUGGCCGUAGUGCAGGGAUGAUGUGGAUUAUUUAUUAAGCUGAGUCUCAGCGAUAAAAGUGAUGAAAAACCUUUUAAAUCAUAAAAGAUAGUAGAUUUUAUUCUCUACUUGACUCUUUUAAUGGAUUGCUUGUUCCGCUGCAGUUAAACUUGAUGUUUGUUAUAUUUUAUCAGUUUAACAUUAUUGAAGGUUAAUGAUAAUUUAUUUUGCAUUAUCUUAGUCAUAAUAUUUCUUACUGAGCUAGUUGAGCUCACCAUUUCUUUCACUGUUCUCUUCAGGAAAUGAGAACGUAGCCGGGACUAGUCGAGGAACGGAGUGACGGUCCAGAUGAUAGUAUUAGUAAUCCUCACUAUUCUGUUAAAUAGUGUGAAAAUAAAUGUAAAGAGGACUCUUUUAAGUGUGGAUAUUGUCUAGAUGACAAUAUUCUUAUUAAACUCUCAGUUUACAUUUUGUCGUAUUUUACACGACAGCUAUAUUAUUAAGUUGUAUUUAAAUUUUUUACCAUGUAUUUGGCUACUCAAGAUGGGUGAUGUAUACCUAUUUUGGGGGCGUCACAAGUCAUAUUUGUUAUAAGCAUAAAAUUUCAAUUGAAA
This 1585-nucleotide long non-coding RNA is filed under the name Panax ginseng (ginseng). RNAcentral describes it as "long non-coding RNA (PGIN_LNC016435)". Lineage: Eukaryota; Viridiplantae; Streptophyta; Magnoliopsida; Apiales; Araliaceae. The record is from RNAcentral.